This is an RNA transcript of Monomorium pharaonis (pharaoh ant), 6224 nucleotides long. RefSeq lists it as uncharacterized. The transcript has 6 exons. The record is from RefSeq and is a predicted model, not a curated record. Lineage: Eukaryota; Metazoa; Arthropoda; Insecta; Hymenoptera; Formicidae.
GAUUAUACCUUUAAAGAUAGAUAUGCAGAAAGCCAAUUUAGCUAGUGUUGAAUUUAAAAACAUAAACGAAGCAAACAAUUUUCUAGAUUUGUCAGAGAAAGAUCCCGAGAAACUCUUCAUUGCUUUUAUUGAAAAAAGAGUUUCCACGUGCAAGGGAGUAAUUACAGACUGGCCUUUUAGUAUACAAGAAAUGUGGGACAAUCUAAUAAAGAAAGAUGAUAUACAAAAAAUAGAACGCAUGACUAAACGAUCGUGGGACCAAGCAACUAAUAAAUAUAAUAUUAAACCGUUAAAUAAUAUAAUUAUUACCAUGAAAGGAGAUAAAAUUAAGGAAAAUUUAAAAGUAUAUGAUAACUUCACUUUUAGCCUAAGAGUCAGACCGUAUGUCGAACCUGUAAUGCAAUGUUUUCAAUGCUUCGGAUACGGACAUAUGAAAUUUCAAUGUAAGAAUGAUACUAGAUGUAUUAAUUGUGGUGAGAUGGCACAUGGCCUCUGCUCAAGAAUAACUUCGUGUCGGAACUGUGGAGGGGACCAUAAAUCUAAUGCUAGAAAUUGUCCUAUUUACCAAAUAAAUCGUGAAUUUAAAAUUAUAAUGGCUUAUAAUAAUUGCUCGUAUCACGAAGCGAAACGUAUAUUAUCGGGAAAAGAACAAGUACCCAUACACUAUGAUAGAUUUGUGGAUCCUACCGCGUGGCCUUCAAUAUCAGAACGUUCGACGGUUAGAAAUAGCUCGCGAAAAGAAACAUGUACCGAACAGAAGUCGAAUUCAGAGUUUAGACCCAUCAAACAAUACAACAACAGUCAACAAGGACAAAUUAAAAGCAAUGUGGCUUAUUUAAGAGAACGGGAUAACGUAGAAAAGAGAAAGUUAAACUACAACACACAUUUCGCUCAAUUUAAUCAUAGACAAAAUGAAAUAGUUAAGGAUAAUUACGGUAUAGCUCUAAAAUCACAACAAGUUAAAGUAAGAGAUAGUAAUUAUAAAGAAAAUAUAAGCCCUGAAAUAGCUGAAAAUAUUUCAAUUAUAGAAGUAAUGUGGAAGAAUUCUAGAGAAUUCAGAGAGAUAGUUAUAGACUUGGCUGAAAGAUUUAAUUCAAAAGACAGUGAUAGUAGUAGUAAUAAUAGGCAAAUAGAUCAUUAUAACUUGAACGAACAUAUAGACGAGGAAAAAAUAAGGCAAAAUAGACAAAAAAUGAAUAAACAUUUAUUUGAACUGAGUAAAAUCAAAGAGGCUACGGCCACCUUAAAAGAAGUUGGUCAAGUAGAGAGAAUGAUAAUAAUACCCAAUUACGUUAAUUAAUGGCUAAGCUAGUUUUGUGGAAUGCUAGAGGGAUAAAAGCUAAAAAAGCGGAAAUUAGCAAUAACAUUUUAGAUUUCGAUAUAGUUGCUCUUACGGAAACAAAAACUAAUUUUAAACAAACUUUGUAUUUUACAGGAUAUAAAACUAUAAAAUCUGAUAAUCGAAAUAAUAGUGGUGGGGUGGCCCUUUUGGUAAAAAAUUGCAUUGAAUUUGAUAUUAUUAAAGAUUGGAAUGUUAGAUCGGAAAACUUUGAUAUAAUAGGUAUUAGGACAAAAAAUUUAUCAAUUAAUUUGAAUAUUAUAGUUAUCUAUAGAAAACCUGGUUCUGUUGAAGGUAUGACAACAUGGCAGGAUUUGUUGAAGUUUGAUGGGAAUGAUCAGGAUUCAAUAGUUAUGGGCGACUUUAACGCUCACCAUAGUAUGUGGAAUUGCAGAAACACAGAUCAUAAUGGAGAAAGAUUAUAUUUAUCAAUGCUUAAUAAGGGCUAUAUAUGCCUCAAUAUGAAUACAAUGUCUAGACUUAACUAUAACAACGAGUCUCCAUCGAAUUUGGAUUUAAUUUUUACAAUAACAAUUUAUCAGAUUUUAUAGAUUAUAAACAAAUAAACGAUACUUGGGGAUCGGAUCACUUUCCCAUUAGAUUGGUAAUAGAUUUAAUAUUUAUCCCAUACAAUAAACUUUCUAAUAGAAUAUCAAAAAAACUUACAGAUUGGACUCGGUACUCAAAAAUAAUUGAAGAUAAAUGGCCUAUUGAAAAAAAAAAAUUUAAUCAAUGCCAGACCGAUCCAACAGAAUUUUUUAAUUUUUACAAUAAAGUUAUUAGGGUUAUGAUAGAAUCAGUUAAUAUCGCAUCAGGGAAAAAGGGAAAUAAUACAGUAGAUGGUAAUAACAAAAAGAACGCUAACCAUAAAGGCAAUAGUAUACAACACAGUUCAAAAAAAAAGAAGUAUAAACAGCAGGUUAGAUGGUGGGAUAAAGAGUGUCAGGAUAUAUUUGAUAUCAGGAAAACAAAAUUUAAUAGAUGGAGACACACAAAAGACAAACAAGAUUUUAUAAUCUACAAAAAAUACAGAGCUUUAGCCAGGAAAACUUUCAAUCAAAAAAAGAAUGAAUGUUUCGUUAGAUUUUGUUCUAAUAUAAAUAGAUUUACAAGUUUUACAUAUGUGUGGAAUGUCAUGAGAACCUUUAAGAAUGUUAAGAAACGGAUUAAUUGGAAUAGAUGGCAAAUAAAAGAUAGAGAAACGGAAGUAUGUAACACUAUUGAGGCUUUGUCCCCGGCAUGGGUGAUGGGAGAUAGGACGGUAUCGAAAUUUAUAAUCAACGCAUCAACGUAUUACGAGCUAGAUCAAGAAUUUGAAAUGAAUGAAUUAAUUAGAGCUUUGAAUAUGGUUAGAAGAGACUCGGCUCCAGGUUUAGAUCACGUAGAUUAUUUAAUGAUUAAAUACUUACCUAAAAUUGCUCAAAAUACUUUGUUAGACAUAUAUAAUUGUAUUUGGAAGACUGGAUUUAUUCCAGAUGACUGGAAAAAAUUUCAAGUAAUCUUUAUAGAUAAAGUCGGAAAAGAAAAGGUCCGUCCUAUCGCCCUAUCUUCUUGUGUUGGGAAAAUUAUGGAACGCCUUGUAAAUGAGCGGCUUAUCUGGUGGUUGGAAAGGGAGAAGAUAUUAUCACAUACACAAAAUGGUUUCAGAAGAGGCAGAUCUUGCGCGGAAAAUUUAGUCAAAUUAUUUGCAGAUGUUAAGAGUUCCAUGCUAGUUGGUAAUUACUCCCUUGCUGGUUUUUUGGACAUUGCAUCGGCAUAUGACAAUGUGGAUUUGGAUAUCCUCUUACAGAAGCUAAAAAAUAUUAGAUGUCCGUCAGGUAUUAUGUUGUUUCUACUAAAGUGGCUUGUACCGCGCGAAACAGAGUUUGUUGUGAGUAGCCAAAAAUAUGUUAAGAAAUAUGUCGGCAGAGGACUUCCACAGGGAGCCGUUCUUAGUCCUGUCUUAUAUGCACUAUAUACCAACGAAAUCACAAAGGGUGUAACGAAUGAUAUUAAUGUGUUACAGUUUGCGGAUGACAUCGCGAUAUAUAUUAGUAGUAAUUCAAGAAUAAAUAAUAGAAUUUUAUUAGAAGUUGCGAUUGACAAAGUUAGGAAAAAUCUUGAAAUGUUAGGCUUAUCACUAGAACCAAAAAAAAACUAAUUUAGUAGAGUUUUCGAAGACUGGAUUUGAUAGAAAUCAAUACAUUAAGAUUAAGGGCACUAAGAUUAUGAAUCAACGUUCGGCAAAGUUUUUAGGUGUGUGGUUUGAUAACCAUCUCUCCUUCAGUAAACAUAUAACAGAAAUUAGAGGUAAGGUAAAUAAAGCUAAUUCUUUAUUGCGAUAUCUUGGCGGUGUAUCGAGAGGUAUAGAAGUCAAUACGUCACUUAUGUUAUACAAAAGCUUAGUAAGAUCUAUUAUGGAUUAUGGCUCUUUUGUUUAUGCCCCUAAUAAUUAUAAUUUACAACUAAAAUUAGAAAGAGGACAAUUCCUUGGAAUCAGAACAGCGUUAGGAUAUCGUAAUAGUACUCCAAACAAUGUUAUUAUGGCAGAGUCAAAAAUUAUGUAUAUUAGAGACAGAGCACUUAUGCUAGCAAAAAAUUUAUGUAUUAAAAUCUUUAAAUAUGGAGAAAACACGAUCAGGAAUAGUUUGUGUUUACUGAGGGAGAGAGAGCUAUAUGCAAAUUAUAGAAACCCGGCUACUUGUAGAAGUGUAAUUGGAAAGGCAUGGGAUCAUAUUAUGGUAAAUAGAAAGAAAGUAGGUUCACCACUAGAUACGUUUGAAUUGUGGAAUAUGUCAUAUAAACAAAUAACUGAUAGAAUAGAUUAUGAUGAGGAGAUCGGUGAAACAAUUAAAAUAUUAAAACCUAAUAAGAUUCCAUGUAACAGUAACGAUAUUAAGAGCUAUAAUUAUCAAGAUAUUAAUUUAAUUAGAGAGGUUCAACAUAAAUAUGAACUAUCGGAAAACUCAUUAAUUAUAUAUACGGAUGGAUCGAGUGGUGAACAAUGCACUUCUGUGGGUGCCGGUUUGGUUUUUGAAGAACAUGAAAUAGGCUAUUAUGUAAGUUUGCCGAAACAAUGCUCUAUAUUCUCUGCGGAAGCGUUUGCUAUUAAGACUGCCAUGGAAUUAGCUAUGAAUAAAAUUAUAGAUAGAGAUAAUGUAAUAAUUUUUUCGGAUUGUAAAUCGGUCUUACAAGCUCUUAAAAACAAUAGAUUAGAUGUAUAUCAGAAUAAGUAUAUAUUAGAAAUUAAAAGACUGCACUCUAGAUUCAAAGAAUCGACUAACAAUAAAAAAAAGAUGAUAUUCGUUUGGAUCCCAUCGCAUCGAGGUCUGACUGGUAAUGAACUCGCGGAUAUGUUGGCGAAACAAGGUGCGGAAGAGCCAGCCUCAUCUGAAAUAGAGAUACCGAUAGGUGAUCUACGAAGAUUUUAUAAAGAGGAAUCAUGGUCCCUUACUCAGGAAAAAAUCAAGAACGAAUUUAGAUAUAAAGGAAUGUUUUACUAUAAUAAUUACUAUAACAAAAAUAGUAAAAAGCCAUGGUUUAGUUCGAUGAACACUGAAAGAUAUUUUGUUACAUUAAUUAAUAGAUUAAGAGCUAAUCAUUACAAUCUAAAUGCCUCACUAGCAAGAAAAGAUUAUAUACCGGAUUCAAGAUGUGAAUGUGGAGCUGAGUCAGAAGAUUUUGAUCACCUGGUAUGGCAGUGCCACAGGUAUGACGCGGAUAGAAUUGAUAUGGGCAUCCAGUUGUAUCGUCGUAACAUAGAUGGUGUGGAGAGCAUUACAGAGCUUAUUAGAAAAGAGAAUUGGAAGAAAUUGUACGUGAUAUACAAGUUUGUCAAGAAAACAGGAAGAGUAAUUUAAAACUGAGUCUCGAGAGCGAGCAAUAUUAUUAUAACACCUUACGACGUCAUAUGACCACAUAUCCCCGUGGGAGGUCGAGCACGUCUGGUUUUCGUCUUAGGACGUAAACUAACCUCCAAAAACCCCCAUGUUAAAACUAUUGAGUUAAUCAAAGUUUACGUCACGAAAUACUUUGUAUUUUUAUCCUGAUAUACCGUGCCCUGAAACAUUUUGUAAGCAUCGAUAAUAAUGGAUUCUGACAAAAAGUGGCGAUCAACAUUAGAAGAAGGAGAAAGGGAAAGAUUAAGAAUGAUAAAAGAGAAAUGGCGUUUUGAACAAGAAUUGAAUGAACGAAAGUUAAGAAUGAUUGAAGAAUAUGAAAGAAAACGAGCAGAAGCACUGAAAAAUUGCAAUCAACAGCCUGGAUUACAACAUAGGAAUGAUACUUCACAACAAAGUGGAAUUAAAUUCCUUGACUAUGAGCAUUUUAAUGAAUGGAAAUCUAACAAAUCAGUGAUCAACAACAGUUCAGAAGAUAUAAUUGACAAGGAAGAACUAUAUAAAAUAAAAAUAACUAUUAAAGGAAGUAAUCUAUCAAUGAAGGAUCAAAGUACAUCAAAAAAGAUUGAACGAGAUAUUAUAAAUGCAAACGAAAUAAUUCUCCCUCGAAGACCAAAUGAAGGUUCUUGCCCAUUGUUCAAAGGAAACGAAAUCAAGAUAGCUGAGGAAACAAUUACGAGACUUUCACAAGAUGAAUUGGUUUCAGAGAAGUAUAUGUCAAAUGAAACUCAAGACUAUUGAUAAAAUUGUCAAAGAGAUCCAAGACAUCCAAGACUGUUUUGCUUUUGGAAAGAAGGAAAAAGCAACUGGCUGAAUACAAGAAGACAGUGAAGAAGACUCCAAAAACUAAAACUAAGAAAACUGAAAAAACUGAGAAAGAUACUACGAAAACCGCUGCUCCUGUCAAGCAGCCAGUUAAUAAGUAAAACAACAAUUAAAUAAUAUCAACACUGUUGUUGACUCAUAUUUUUUAUCUCUGUCUUCAAAUAAAAGGCGAAAAAUUAAAA